UUAUCUUCCUAUGGACUAUUUAUUAUUUGAAUUUGUUGUUAUUUUAGCCCUGAGUUUACCCUGUUCAAACUGACCUAUGAUCAAAGCAUUCCAGCCAUGACAAUCCCUGUGUUAUCAUCAGGCAUAGUAUAUCAAAGACUACAUUACUCAAUAACUAGAUCUGAGACGUUUCCGCUCGACCACUUCUCUAGCGAAACAAAGCCGACUACGUCAUCACGGGGUACACAUUUGGACGAAGAAUUCUUUUUAAUCGACUAACAACAUUGCAGUGAUGCAUCUUACCGAUGCAUCCCUACACAUGGAACUGCAAUUUGAACUGCUGUCUUAUCUAAAAAGGUGGGGAAGCGCUGAAAAUCAAAAUCAUUUCACCUGUAAAAGAUCAAAUGUAGAAUUUGGAAAUUUUUCUUUAAUGAUUAAAAAAAAAAAAAAUCCUUUUUUUUUUUAUUAAUUAGAACAUAAAGAAAAGGAUACAAAUUAUUUAUUUAUAUUUAUUGACAAUGUUUUAGCUGUCAUAUCUCUCACUGACCGGUCGGUGCUGAACAAACUAAAAAAACACAAAGAAACUCUUUCUGAUUCGCUCAUUUUGUAAAUGGAUAUUAAUAAUAAUGGAGGCUAUUACAAAGACUCAUGGGAAAUUCUCCUACAUUUUUUUUUUUUUUUUGAAUUAACUUAUUUAUCAAGUAAUUUAUUUUUUCCACAUCGGCAUACUGCUACAAUUCUCAAACAGUCAAGAACGGACAUUUUUCUUUUCAUUAAAUUAAAAAUUAAUUUUAGGAAAAUGUGACAAACGAAAUAAUUUCUCAUAGAUAAAACUGUAUUUAAAAACAAAAACAAAAAAACAAAAUGAAGAAAAGUAAACAGAAACACAGAGAGAGAGAGAAAGAGAAAGGAAAACAAAAUAAGAAUUGGUCAAAACUGUAAA
Long non-coding RNA from Octopus sinensis (East Asian common octopus), 922 nucleotides. RefSeq lists it as uncharacterized. NCBI's taxonomy places the organism in Eukaryota, Metazoa, Mollusca, Cephalopoda, Octopoda, Octopodidae. The transcript is spliced from 2 exons. The record is from RefSeq and is a predicted model, not a curated record.